RNAcentral lists this ribosomal RNA (260 nucleotides) under uncultured bacterium. Its description in RNAcentral is "partial 16S ribosomal RNA". It matches the Rfam family "Bacterial small subunit ribosomal RNA", at positions 793 to 1055 of the family's 1533-position model. The record is from RNAcentral.
GUCCACGCCGUAAACGAUGAUAACUAGCUGUCCGGGUACUUGGUAUCUGGGUGGCGCAGCUAACGCAUUAAGUUAUCCGCCUGGGGAGUACGGUCGCAAGAUUAAAACUCAAAGGAAUUGACGGGGCCCCGCACAAGCAGCGGAGCAUGCGGCUUAAUUCGACGCAACGCGAAGAACCUUACCAAGGCUUGACAUAUACAGGAAUAUGGCAGAGAUGUCAUAGCCGCAAGGUCUGUAUACAGGUGGUGCAUGGUUGUCGU